UAAAAUACUGAGACUACAUGCUUAUACAAUUUUUAUUACAGUAUGUUGUGAUUGUUCUAACUUAUUAUCUAUUGCUAAUAUCUUACUGACUGAUUUAUAAAUUAGAAUUUAUCUUAAGAGUGUAUAGAAAAAAUACAGCAUAUAUACAGUAUGGUGAGUUUAAGAUAGAAUCUGGGAAGGUUUGGAACAUAAAUCCCUGGGAUAGGAGAAGUUAAGAGGAAAGUCCUUGGAUUCAGCCAACAUCUGACUCCAGCAGUGCUCCCUCAGUGUCCCAUCCCUGGGCUAAACGAUUUUGAGAAUAAAUAUCGCUGACUAAUGUUCAAGCAACAUGGGUUGUUAUUUUUGUUUAUUUGCUUGUUUUUUUUCCAGAAAGGUUAAAAAUUCCACAUUAUUUUACAGUCCAAGAAGAAACAAGAGUCAGUCCAAUUUUCUGUGACAGAAACAGUGUCGUCCUAAGGAGUGGAGAACACUGUCGAACGUAUCCUGCGCAUCUACCGGAGAAGAGGUCCCCACGCUGAACCAGCAGGCUUCUUGUUUCUCCCACUCCAAAGUGAAGUUGGCAGAAUGGCCUUGUAAGAGAGAACAAUUUAUUCAGCCCCAAAAUCAAACAUUUAAUUUCCAGAUUAAUCCCGUGUCAUUGCACCGCAGGAUGGAAAAGCAGAGUCAUCUUCCUAAAUGCAUAGGAACAAGCUUGAGAA
Molecule: non-coding RNA, 698 nt
Organism: Rattus norvegicus (Norway rat)
Lineage: Eukaryota; Metazoa; Chordata; Mammalia; Rodentia; Muridae
Source: RefSeq, a predicted model, not a curated record